This 497-nucleotide ribosomal RNA is filed under the name uncultured bacterium. RNAcentral describes it as "partial 16S ribosomal RNA". It matches the Rfam family "Bacterial small subunit ribosomal RNA", at positions 28 to 507 of the family's 1533-position model. The record is from RNAcentral.
GAUGAACGCUGGCGGCGUGCCUAAUACAUGCAAGUCGAGCGAACGGACGAGAAGCUUGCUUUUCUGAUGUAAGCGGCGGACGGGUGAGUAACACGUGGAUAGCCUACCUAUAAGACUGGGAUAACUUCGGGAAACCGGAGCUAAUACCGGAUAAUAUUUUGAACCGCAUGGUUCAAAAGUGAAAGACGGUCCUGCUGUCAAUUAUAGAUGGAUCCGCGCUGCAUUAGCUAGUUGGUAAGGUAACGGCUUACCAGGGCAACGAUGCACAGCCGACCUGAGAGGGUGAUCGGCCACACUGGAACUGAGACACGGUCCAGACUCCUACGGGAGGCAGCAGUAGGGAAUCUUCCGCAAUGGGCGAAAGCCUGACGGAGCAACGCCGCGUGAGUGAUGAAGGUCUUCGGAUCGUAAAACUCUGUUAUUAGGGAAGAACAUAUGUGUAAGUAACUGUGCACAUCUUGACGGUACCUAAUCAGAAAGCCACGGCUAACUACGUG